ACACCUCAACUCUCAUGGUCCGCCAUGAUGAGCUUGGACUUUGGGGGCCUUGCCGGCCUAGCGUCGGCUCCUCUCAAAUAGAUCAGCUUGCCAGUGUUUGGUGGCGUCACAGGUGUGAUAACUAUCUACGCAUGUGGUUCUCCGCCAUGUAACCUUCAGUGAUGGAGGUUCGCUGGAGCUCACAGAUGUCUCUCCUUGGGAGGACAGCUUUUGAAC
RNAcentral lists this unclassified non-coding RNA (216 nucleotides) under uncultured Tomentella. Its description in RNAcentral is "sequence contains ITS2". The record is from RNAcentral. RNAcentral also lists the same sequence under 1 other name. Lineage: Eukaryota; Fungi; Basidiomycota; Agaricomycetes; Thelephorales; Thelephoraceae.